UCCUUUUGAAUUUUUAUCUAAGGUCUGACCUGCCCACUGAUUUAUUUAAUGGCCGCGGUAUUUUGACCGUGCAAAGGUAGCAUAAUAAUUUGUCUUUUAAUUGAAGGCUUGUAUGAAUGGUUGGACGAGAAAAUUACUUUCUUUAUAAUAAAAUGAUUAAUUUUAUUUUUCAGUUAAAAAGCUGAAAUAUUAUUGUAGGACGAGAAGACCCUAUAGAACUUUAUAUUUAUUUUUUAUAUUAAUAUUUUUUGGUAAUAAUAUAUUGUAUAUUUAUAAAUAUUUUGUUGGGGCGACAAGAAAAUUUAUUUAACUUUUUUUUAUGAAUUUCAUUAAUUAAUGUAUAAAUGAUCCUUUAUUAAGGAUAAUUAGAAUAAGUUACCUUAGGGAUAACAGCGUAAUUUUUUUGGAGAGUUCUUAUCGAUAAAAAAGUUUGCGA
Molecule: ribosomal RNA, 436 nt
Filed under: Ectemnostega quadrata
Lineage: Eukaryota; Metazoa; Arthropoda; Insecta; Hemiptera; Corixidae
Description: partial large subunit ribosomal RNA
Rfam family: Archaeal large subunit ribosomal RNA
Source: RNAcentral